This 474-nucleotide ribosomal RNA is filed under the name uncultured organism. Its description in RNAcentral is "bacterial SSU rRNA". It matches the Rfam family "Bacterial small subunit ribosomal RNA", at positions 8 to 484 of the family's 1533-position model. The record is from RNAcentral.
AGAGUUUGAUCGUGGCUCAGAUUGAACGCUGGCGGCAUGCCUUACACAUGCAAGUCGAACGGUAACAGGUUAAGCUGACGAGUGGCGAACGGGUGAGUAAUAUAUCGGAACGUGCCCAGUCGUGGGGGAUAACUACUCGAAAGAGUAGCUAAUACCGCAUACGACCUGAGGGUGAAAGCGGGGGAUCGCAAGACCUCGCGCGAUUGGAGCGGCCGAUAUCAGAUUAGGUAGUUGGUGGGGUAAAAGCUCACCAAGCCAACGAUCUGUAGCUGGUCUGAGAGGACGACCAGCCACACUGGGACUGAGACACGGCCCAGACUCCUACGGGAGGCAGCAGUGGGGAAUUUUGGACAAUGGGCGCAAGCCUGAUCCAGCCAUGCCGCGUGCGGGAAGAAGGCCUUCGGGUUGUAAACCGCUUUUGUCAGGGAAGAAAAGGUUCUGGCUAAUACCCGGGACUCAUGACGGUACCUAAGA